AUACGUAGGGAGCGAGCGUUGUCCGGAAUUACUGGGCGUAAAGGGUGCGUAGGCGGGACGGCAAGUCAGAUGUGAAAUACCGGGGCUCAACCCCGGGGCUGCAUUUGAAACUGUCGUUCUUGAGUGAGGUAGAGGUAAGCGGAAUUCCUAGUGUAGCGGUGAAAUGCGUAGAUAUUGGGAGGAACAUCGGUGGCGAAGGCGGCUUACUGGGCCUUUUCUGACGCUGAGGCACGAAAGCGUGGGGAGCAAACAGGAUUAGAUACCCUGGUAGUCCACGCUGUAAACGAUGAUGACUAGGUGUGGGGGGACUGAACCCUUCCGUGCCGCAGUUAACACAAUAAGUCAUCCACCUGGGGAGUACGGCCGCAAGGUUGAAACUCAAAUGAAUUGACGGGG
RNAcentral lists this ribosomal RNA (396 nucleotides) under uncultured bacterium. RNAcentral describes it as "partial 16S ribosomal RNA". It matches the Rfam family "Bacterial small subunit ribosomal RNA", at positions 523 to 918 of the family's 1533-position model. The record is from RNAcentral.